Molecule: ribosomal RNA, 253 nt
Filed under: uncultured bacterium
Lineage: Bacteria
Description: partial 16S ribosomal RNA
Rfam family: Bacterial small subunit ribosomal RNA
Source: RNAcentral
UACGUAGGUGGCAAGCGUUGUCCGGAUUUAUUGGGUUUAAAGGGUGCGUAGGCGGCUUUGUAAGUCAGUGGUGAAAUAUGGCAGCUCAACUGUCAGGGUGCCAUUGAUACUGCGGAGCUUGAGUACAGAUGAGGUAGGCGGAAUUGACGGUGUAGCGGUGAAAUGCAUAGAUAUCGUUAAGAACACCGAUAGCGAAGGCAGCUUACCAAGCUGUAACUGACACUGAGGCACGAAAGUGUGGGGAUCAAACAGG